UACGUAGGGACCAAGCGUUGUCCGGAAUCAUUGGGCGUAAAGAGCGUGUAGGCGGCUUGUUAAGUCUUGCGUGAAAUCUCGGGGCUCAACCCCGAGCGGUCGUGAGAAACUGGCAGGCUAGAGUGCGGGAGAGGAGAGUGGAGUUCCUGGUGUAGCGGUGAAAUGCGCAGAUAUCAGGAGGAACACCGGUGGCGAAGGCGGGUCUCUGGGCCGAUACUGACGCUGAGGAGCGAAAGCGUGGGGAGCGAACAGG
This 253-nucleotide ribosomal RNA is filed under the name uncultured bacterium. RNAcentral describes it as "partial 16S ribosomal RNA". It matches the Rfam family "Bacterial small subunit ribosomal RNA", at positions 524 to 776 of the family's 1533-position model. The record is from RNAcentral.